This 230-nucleotide long non-coding RNA is filed under the name Brassica napus (rape). RNAcentral's name for it is "long non-coding RNA (BNAP_LNC010787)". Lineage: Eukaryota; Viridiplantae; Streptophyta; Magnoliopsida; Brassicales; Brassicaceae. The record is from RNAcentral.
GAGCUUAUAAGGUCUGUCAUACACUCUGAUGCCAAAUUACAAAUAUCAUCUGGUUUAUGAAAAUUAAGCUCACCAGUUUUAGGAAUAUACAAGUAUUGUUGUAUAUAUGAAUUUAUUUUUGGGUUCGCACAAAAGUAAGCUCAAAGGUUUUGUUACUGUUUAACAUGUUUCUCCCAAGAAACAUAGAAUCGAAGCUCUUUGCGUUUGCAUCAUCACGAUUUCCUCCCCUC